RNAcentral lists this transfer RNA (70 nucleotides) under Capra hircus (goat). It matches the Rfam family "tRNA". Rfam says of the family: Transfer RNA (tRNA) molecules are approximately 80 nucleotides in length. RNAcentral also lists the same sequence under 1 other name. The record is from Rfam by way of RNAcentral. Lineage: Eukaryota; Metazoa; Chordata; Mammalia; Artiodactyla; Bovidae.
UCCCUGGUGGCUCAAUGGUAAAGAAUCUGCUUGCAAUGCAGGUGACCUGGGUUUGAUCCCUGCUGGGGUC